This 57-nucleotide non-coding RNA is filed under the name unclassified sequences. The record is from RNAcentral.
CGCAGAGCACAGGGGCAUGUGCCCCUGUAAUGCGACCGAUGGCGGUUGCAAGUCCGC